Molecule: ribosomal RNA, 650 nt
Filed under: uncultured marine bacterium
Lineage: Bacteria
Description: bacterial SSU rRNA
Rfam family: Bacterial small subunit ribosomal RNA
Source: RNAcentral
CUUUGGAAGUUCCUAGUGGCGAACGAGUGAGUAACACGUGAGUUACCUGCCCUGAAGUGGGGAAUAGCCCGGAGAAAUUCGGAUUAAUACCCUAUGUGAUCGUAAGAUUAAAGGCGGCUUCGGCUGUCGCUUCAGGAUGGGCUCGCGGCCUAUCAGCUUGUUGGUGAGGUAAAGGCUCACCAAGGCGAUGACGGGUAGCUGGUCUGAGAGGACGACCAGUCACACUGGAACUGAGACACGGUCCAGACACCUACGGGUGGCAGCAGUCGAGAAUCAUUCGCAAUGGACGAAAGUCUGACGGUGCGACGCCGCGUGGAGGAUGAAGGCCCUAGGGUCGUAAACUCCUGUCAUCAGGGAGUAAAUGCUCAUGCAGUAACUGGUAUGGGUCUUGAUAGUACCUGAAGAGGAAGGGACGGCAAACUUCGUGCCAGCAGCCGCGGUAAUACGAAGGUCCCAAGCGUUGUUCGGAUUUACUGGGCGUAAAGCGUCUGUAGGCGGCGCGGUAAGUCAGAUGUGAAAUCCCGGGGCUCAACCCCGGAACUGCAUCCGAUACUGCCGUGCUUGAGGGUCGGAGGGGAGUCUGGAAUUCUCGGUGUAGCAGUGAAAUGCGUAGAUAUCGAGAGGAACACUAGUGGCGAAGGCGAGACUCU